This 161-nucleotide ribosomal RNA is filed under the name uncultured bacterium. RNAcentral describes it as "partial 16S rRNA". It matches the Rfam family "Bacterial small subunit ribosomal RNA", at positions 358 to 511 of the family's 1533-position model. The record is from RNAcentral.
GGAAUCUUCCACAAUGGACGCAGGUCUGAUGGAGCAACGCCGCGUGAGUGAAGAAGGUCUUCGGAUCGUAAAACUCUGUUGUUAGAGAAGAACACGAGUGAGAGUAACUGUUCAUUCGAUGACGGUAUCUAACCAGCAAGUCACGGCUAACUACGUGCUAG